UACGAAGGGGGCUAGCGUUGCUCGGAAUCACUGGGCGUAAAGCGCACGUAGGCGGAUCUUUAAGUCAGGGGUGAAAUCCCAGGGCUCAACCUUGGAACUGCCUUUGAUACUGGGGAUCUCGAGUCCGGAAGAGGUGAGUGGAACUGCGAGUGUAGAGGUGAAAUUCGUAGAUAUUCGCAAGAACACCAGUGGCGAAGGCGGCUCACUGGUCCGGUACUGACGCUGAGGUGCGAAAGCGUGGGGAGCAAACAGG
This 253-nucleotide ribosomal RNA is filed under the name uncultured bacterium. Its description in RNAcentral is "partial 16S ribosomal RNA". It matches the Rfam family "Bacterial small subunit ribosomal RNA", at positions 524 to 776 of the family's 1533-position model. The record is from RNAcentral.